Molecule: long non-coding RNA, 94 nt
Organism: Etheostoma spectabile (orangethroat darter)
Lineage: Eukaryota; Metazoa; Chordata; Actinopteri; Perciformes; Percidae
Exons: 3
Source: RefSeq, a predicted model, not a curated record
UUUCAGUGGACAUUAGGGGUGAGUUUAGCCAACAAUGAGUGGCAUGAGGCGACGACAGUUAAGUUUAAGCACCAAAACGACUAGAUAAGUUUAG